CACGCAGUAAACGAUGAAUACUAACUGUUUGCGAUAUACAGUAAGCGGUACAGCGAAAGCGUUAAGUAUUCCACCUGGGGAGUACGUUCGCAAGAAUGAAACUCAAAGGAAUUGACGGGGGCCCGCACAAGCGGAGGAACAUGUGGUUUAAUUCGAUGAUACGCGAGGAACCUUACCCGGGCUUGAAAUGCAUCUGACGUAUUUGGAAACAGAUAUUCUAGCAAUAGCAGAUGUGUAGGUGC
Molecule: ribosomal RNA, 242 nt
Filed under: uncultured Porphyromonadaceae bacterium
Lineage: Bacteria; Pseudomonadati; Bacteroidota; Bacteroidia; Bacteroidales; Porphyromonadaceae
Description: partial 16S ribosomal RNA
Rfam family: Bacterial small subunit ribosomal RNA
Source: RNAcentral